CUGUUAAUGUUAAGUUGGUCAUGUGGGUGAACCAAAUAUUGGGCGGGUUUAAGCUCUUGGCCUUUUCUCUCUGUUUUCCACGUAGAGUUGUGAGGUUUCUUCUUCUACUUACUAAGUUUUUCUUUGGUUUCUCCGGACCGGCAUUGCCGCCACCACAAUUACCACCAGCAGCUAUACCUUCAUCUACUUCUCCUUCUCGAGGAGCAAAAAUGAUUCGAAGUUAACCACACAUCUUCUCAUCUUUUAGUUGAUUUCAGUUGGUCAUGAAGGGAUUUGCUAGGUACAAAUUAGGGGAGGAAAACAUUUCUAGCUAGAUGUCUCAGCAGCUUGGUUUUUCGAGGCAAAUCAGGCUCCAAAGGAAGCUUCUCAAUAAGGAUGUUGAGAAGUCAUUUAGAAGGCAGCUCAGGAAAUGUGAUAGUCAUUUGUAUACGUUUCCGGUUAGUAGCUUUUUUGGUCUCUUUAAACAAUACAUAAAGGGUUAUUAUGGGACUAUGUCGCCGAUUUAGGUAUUGGUAGACAAAUUCGGCCUGACCGAUAUAGUGGUGCAAGACGGCAAGUAAGAGAGGACAUGGAUGACACUGAAAAUAUAGUACUGCUCAUUGGAGAUGGUAAUUUAUCACCGAAAGGAUAGUUUACACAUGGAGAAAGACACAGCAGCAUAGUGCGGAAGAUUCCCAAAAUUGCAUUUGAGUGCAGUUUACAUAGUUUGACUGGAUAAUCUGGACUAUUAAUAUAAUAAAACAAAAGGGAAAAGCGCUUUCAACUUGGAUGUCACUACAUGAAACUGGAUAGUAUUGUCCAAUUGGCUACCUGUAGGAGUUGUUUAAGAGAAUAUUUUCUCAACAUGAUAUGUACGUAUGGUGACCUACAGUAUUUUAACUGGAUGAUCUGGAUUAUUAGUAUAAUAAAACAAAAGUGACUCCCUACUACAGUGAGUAGACAAUAUAUUCUAAAUGUGACCUCAGCUGGAGAAUGAGAAUGGUGUAUUCGUCAUAUAUUACUUGCAAAAAAAAAAUCUUAUCAGAUGAACAAAAUAACUUCGUGGAAAUGCUCAUUCUCCUGAAGUCUGGGUAACAAAGAGAAGAUUGUGCAUCUUCGCCGUCUUUUAAGCAGACAAACAAUGUUCGUAACUAUAUUACUGGAUGUGCUUUUCAUGGGUAGGUUUGAUGUGGUGGUAAAUGGUGAAUGCUCUCUAAGUCUUCACAAUAACAAACGAGAGAAUAGGUAGCAGGAUCCUGUGUGCGACAGAGAUAUGUUACUUCUUGAAAAAGUACAUAAACGAGAAUUCUCAACCAGGGACAAUCAGAGGUUGAAUUGGAGCUGAGGUCGUAAGAAGCAUUUGAAAUAUAUCCUCUGGCCAAAUUUCAUGGUACGUUGCAGAUGUAUAUCUCUUAUUUGCUGCAUACAGUUCAGUUGACUUGCAAUUUAGAUUAUUCCAUCUUUUAUUUUUAUGUAAUAUUAUGUCAGAGUAUUGUGUGUGACUUGGAUACCUUAUUCGAGUGAACGACUCAGGUGGCAGAGCUCAGUGCGACACUAACAUGAGAUAUUUGAAUCUACCAACUCCAAUGAAGAUCUAUAAUUGUUAUAGUAUAAUGGGUAACACAAUUGAAGUAUUUACUAUUGGAAUUUCUGUUUUGGUUAAUAACAAUUUUUAAUUGAUUUUAAAAUCCACAGACAGAUGUUGUUUGGUUGCAUUUAGUCUCUAGCUAUUAUACUUUGCUUGCCCAGCUAUUUUUUGUUUGUAAAAGCAGAAAACCGCAGUUCUACAAAGUAAUGGCCUUCAUUUGAGAUAUUCUGUCGUACACCUAAUUUGGCAUCUUUUUUACAUGGCUUUCAUUGGUACAAUCUGAAAUUUUACACCUUUGAGGCAGAAAUUACAAUCUAAGUUGAACAUUCAUUCAAACUGGAGGUUCAAAUCACUGAGGUAACAUCUGAUUUUUUCUUCUUUGCUCUCUUGCCACCCAUGUAAGUAGAUCUCUUUACAUGAGUAGGAAAAAAUAGAUUUACCAAUUCGAUUUUACUUCUUCAUUGGUUUUUCUGAAACUAAAGAUGUGAAUGUUAAAUGCUUUUGUAGUUUUAGUUCAAUUGAAUUGAUGGGUAAAUUUAUUUUUUCGGGGUAUAAAUGUGCCGAAAUGGAUAGUAUGCCUGCUGCUAUAUUCCUUUGAAUAAUGUGAUUGAUGUUGAUAUCAUAUGCAGUCUAGCAUAUCACAGUUUUAUCACUAUGUGAUAAGAUUGUCGGUACUAAAGCUACAUUAGUGGAGGGAGUCAUGACCCAUAGGUUUUGGUGGCUUCUCUACUUAACUAUGAACAUCUUGGGAAAGAGGUUUAUUAGCGAGUCGCUCUUAACUCAGUUUCAGCCUUUACUCUGAUUGUUUCUUAGUUAUAUACAGGGGUCAUACAUCUAACCUCCCUCUCUUACAUUUUUGUGUUAUAUACCCUUGCAUCUCAUUAUUUUUCAGGCGGAAUCCAAUAUAGCUGUGGAAUACUGAGUAAUGAGCAUGAAGAUUCGUGAUUUUCUUAAAUUUAUUAUUAAUAAUAAUGCAAUCUUGAAACAAUGUGGUAGUAGUUAUUCUUAUGUAAGAAUAUCUUUACCUUUUAUGACCUCGAGUAGCUGAUAAUUGCAGCUCAUAUCCUUGCACGUUUUGCAUUAUUGAUUUGGUUCCCCUUAAUUAGAAUACGUAAGAAACUAUAUGAAUCUCAUCUGAAAUCUGCCAUGCGAGAGGCCCAACAGUAGACCUCCAGGAUCAUAUGGUGGAAAAUCAAGUGUUGCUGAAAAGUCGCAGUGAUCCAGAAGCAUGUAUUUUAGUCCAGAUUGAGUUCGUGUUAGAGGCAGGGUCUCCGGCUUUCAAUGCAGUUUCUGCUACGUUGAAGAGCUCUAAUGUAGAAGUCUCUUUAUUCCACCUCCAACACUUAGAAAGAUCUAUCCGAAGUCUGUUACCCCUGGAUAUAGCAACAUUCACAGCUUCAACUGACACCAACAAGUGCUCCAUCUAGAAUUCUUAAACCUAAACGAGUUGAUGUUGAUACCAUUUCAGUUUUAUUUGUGUAAUCAAUAUAAAUUGUUUACUCUUCUGACUUUUCUUUCUGAUGCCAUGUUACAAAUGCAGCUACACUCCAAGCAAGUUAGAGAGAAAUUCAGACAAGAACCCUCAAAAGCAAGUUAGAGAGAAUCAGAAGAUGAACAGCUCAGGCUUCACAGGCCUGAUUCGCAGAUAUAUAUGCUCAGGCUUCCGCUUCAUAAUAUCACUGAGAUAGUCAUUCAAGUGCUACCCCUGCAAAAAAAAAGGAGUUGUAAGAAGUAGCUACCUACAAUAGUUGUGAGCGCGAACAGAUUUAUUGGUUUGUUGGUCUUUGCAUCUCAAUAUAUCCAGGGGCCAGUGAUAAAUGCCAGAAAGAGAGAAGAAAGAUAAUUGAUGGGGUUGAUUUCCAACAUGUUCCCCUUAAUGAAUACAAGCAGAACAUGCAGUCAAUAGUCUCCUUCAUUAAGGAAUAAUAAAACUCUGACAGACGGGGAAAAAUAUACUUUGGCUGAAUUACACAUUCAGACAACAUUAAUUGCUACAAUAUAAGAAAGCUUAAAAUGGGAAAUGUUUCGUGACAAGGGGGUAAUGGGACCGUGGAUGCCGAGGAAGCGUGAUAUUGGGGAUUCUAUGACUUUGACUAAUAUCCAUCAGGAUCUAUCAUAGGUGCAUUCUAAGGAUGAGAAACAGGUGUUGCGUUAGCAUGUUGAAGUCUGUUGUCCAGUCUGAAGAGUUCCUUACAAACUCUAAAAGUUGUGUAAAAAAGUGGAUGCUGCAUUUCUCAGCUUAGCUUGAUAUAGCUAUAAUGCCCCGCAUCUCCCGUUUGACUACAUAAAUCAUCUGAAGAACCCAAGGGAAAUACGUGAAGAAGCCGAGAAUGCAUAUGAAGCAGGGUUAUAAACUUAAGAUCAUGAUAUAGAGACAAACGAUAUAGACUUUAAGAUCAUGCAUGAUGUUAGGGUUACAUGUGCAUACGAAGUAGGGUGUCAGGUACACUCUCUUCUGGAUAUCCCUUCGUGAGCAAACAAUUGGAAUUGUAUUUGUUGUCUUAGCUCAAAUGGCAGAGCAUAUGGUGUUUACCAUGUAGUUGUGGGUUCGACUCCCACAGAUAGCAUAGCUGUAUGAGUAAGCAAAAACGGUACAUGCAUUCUGAUACCCAUACAGAGAUAUAACGCGACAUAGGCAUACAUAUAAAAAACUUUUCAUCUCUA
Papaver somniferum (opium poppy) is the source of this 4231-nucleotide long non-coding RNA. RefSeq lists it as uncharacterized. The transcript is spliced from 14 exons. NCBI's taxonomy places the organism in Eukaryota, Viridiplantae, Streptophyta, Magnoliopsida, Ranunculales, Papaveraceae. The record is from RefSeq and is a predicted model, not a curated record.